AAUGCAACCAUGUGUUACCAUGAAUUUAACGUAAAUCGAUAUACAGUAUGCAAACUGUCACAUAGAAAUUACAUUAUUGUGGGAUUGUUUCCAUGAUAUCUGUGGAGGAAAAAAAUUUCCAGGUAAGGAUACAUUUUCAGAUUUCAACUUCAUUUGGAUGUCCUUGAAGUAAUUUUAUCAGACCAGAUUGUAUUAUUGGUGGAAAAUUUCAAACAAUGAGAGUAUAAUGAAGAGCCAGAAAAUGUGACUACAGACAGAAAUCAGGAACCCAAGUCUUUAAUAAGGCAGAUAGUUUAGAUACGAUUAAAUAAUUUAAAACAAAUAAUUAAA
Mytilus californianus (California mussel) is the source of this 330-nucleotide long non-coding RNA. RefSeq lists it as uncharacterized. Lineage: Eukaryota; Metazoa; Mollusca; Bivalvia; Mytilida; Mytilidae. The transcript has 2 exons. The record is from RefSeq and is a predicted model, not a curated record.